CAGGAUAGCUGUAAUGCAUUUAGUUAAGGGGAGUAGAGAUAUGGGUAGAGGUGCAGGAGCCCUUCGGGUUCUCAACUUAUUUCCAAACUUCGAACCUCCUUGUUAGGCAUUUACCUAACUGGAAAUGCUUAAAUGAAUUAGCGUUACAAGUGGGCUCUGACCGGUAAGCGGUCAUGGCGAAAUGGGAUGAACCAUACGUCUGAAUAAGGUGCCGAAAUGUACUAUCACUGAUACCAUAAAGGGAGUCCAUGUAUUUAGACAGCAGGUCGGUGCCCCUAAAAGCAGGUAUCCGCUAAAGAGUGUGUUAAAACUCACCUGCCGAAUACUAGGGCCCCGAAAAUGAAUGGCGCAUAUAGUACUACCGAUCUCAGACAUCAGUUCUAUUGAACUGAGAGUAGGGGGAUGUGGACAUUUUUGUGAAGGUGCAAUGUGAGUUGGACUGGAAGAAUGUCUAUUACAGAUCCUAAUUGAAGUAGCGAUUAUCCAGGCUUGUAUCCUGGGGGCUGAUGAGGAGUAGGGUUUCUGGACAACUUAAACAGAUCCAGAGUUAGUCGAUCCUAAUCUCAAUAAUGGGAGAAAGGGAGUACAGUUGAUAUUCUGUAACUGACAACAGUUCGCGGCAACGCAUACUAUUUUUCUCCGCCAAUCUUAUACCGUUGGUAGGGAUCUCUUUCCUACAUGACAGUACUAAUACCCAGGGAAACUGGUCAUCAGGCGAACUGCGGCGUUCUGCUGGCAAAACAUAGCUUCGGUUAUGUCAAUGGCUAUUGGAUUGGUCCAUGAAGC
This 786-nucleotide non-coding RNA is filed under the name Trichomonas vaginalis G3. RNAcentral's name for it is "Eukaryotic large subunit ribosomal RNA". It matches the Rfam family "Eukaryotic large subunit ribosomal RNA", at positions 974 to 1811 of the family's 3401-position model. Lineage: Eukaryota; Parabasalia; Trichomonadida; Trichomonadidae. The record is from Rfam by way of RNAcentral.